AUAAUAACUUAAAUUAAUGAAUUCAUCAAAAUUAUUUUAAAUAAAAAUAAUUAUUUAGUUUUAGUACUAUUUAUGGAAAAAAUACUUUUAAUUUAACUGUGAAGAUAAAUAAUAAAUAUAUAAAAGUAAAAUUAUAAUUUGUACCUUUUGUAUCAGGGUUAAUUAAUUAUAUAUAAGAAUUUAUUUUUCCCGAAUUAUGGUGACUUAGGAUUGUUUGUUAAUUAUUAUAAUAUAAAUAUUAAUAAAAUAAUUUUAGUGAUGAAACUUUUUUCGAACUAUAAUAUUUCUGGUUUCUUAAGAAUUAAAUUUAAUUUAAAAUAAAUAUUAUAAUUUAUAUUUUAAUAUAGAAUUUUGUAUUUAUUUAAUUAUAUUAAGGACAAGCUAAAUAUAAUUUCUAUAAUAUUUUAAAUUUCAGUUAAUUAAAUAGGCUUACAAUUAGCCUUUUUAUAUGAGUGAGUUAAAUUUUAUUUUCUAUUUAAAUACAUUUAAUAUAUUUUAGGUAUAUAUUAAGAAAAUUAAAUUAAUAAAAAUAUUUUUAUUAAAAUGAUUAAAUUAGUAAAUAUACAACAAAUUGUAUUUAAGAAUUAGGCAAAUAUAAUUUUCACCUGUUUACCAAAAACAUGUCCUUUAGAAAAAUAUUAAAGGUCUAUUCUGCCCAAUGAUAUUUUAAUGGCCGCGGUAAUUUGACCGUGCAAAGGUAGCAUAAUAAUUAGUCUUUUAAUUGAAGGCUUGAAUGAAUGAAUGGAUGAAAAAUUUUCUUUUUUGAUUAAGUUAAAUUGAAUUUAGAAUUUAAGUAAAAAAUCUUAAAUAAAUAAGUGGGACGAGAAGACCCUAUAGAAUUUUAAAUAAAUUUAUUUUACUAGAGAUUAGAAUUAAUAACUGGAAAAAUUAUUUUAUUUUUUGUUGGGGUGACAUUAUAAUAAAUAAAACUUUAAAUAAAUUUUUCAUAAAUUAAUGUUUAAUUGAUCCAAUUUUUUGAUUAAAAGAUUAAAUUACCUUAGGGAUAACAGCGUUAUUAGUUUGGAGAGUUCAUAUCGAUAAAUUAGAUUGCGACCUCGAUGUUGGAUUAAGAAAAGAGUUUAGAGCAAAAUUUAAAUAUUCUGGGUCUGUUCGACCUUUAAUUUCUUACAUGAUCUGAGUUCAAAUCGGCGUGAGCCAGGUUGGUUUCUAUCUACUAAUAUAUUUUUAAUAUUAGUACGAAAGGACCAUAUUGAAUAAUUUAAUUUAU
RNAcentral lists this ribosomal RNA (1228 nucleotides) under Magicicada septendecim (seventeen-year cicada). RNAcentral's name for it is "16S ribosomal RNA". The stretch from base 815 to 1176 matches the Rfam family "Archaeal large subunit ribosomal RNA", at positions 2154 to 2717 of the family's 2987-position model. Lineage: Eukaryota; Metazoa; Arthropoda; Insecta; Hemiptera; Cicadidae. The record is from RNAcentral.